Molecule: unclassified non-coding RNA, 200 nt
Filed under: uncultured Sebacinales
Lineage: Eukaryota; Fungi; Basidiomycota; Agaricomycetes; Sebacinales
Description: sequence contains ITS2
Source: RNAcentral
UAAUCUCACCCCCGGAACCUUUUGUUUCGGGAGUGGACUUGGACGCUGCCGUGUAUGCGGCUCGUCUGGAAUGUCUCAGUGUACCCCGCCGUUGGCGUAGACAGUGUGAUAAGUAUCUUCACUGAUCGAGUCUCUUCGGAGACGCGCCCUCUGGAUCAUGGAUGUGUGCUGCAAACCGUCUUCGGACAAACUUGUCGACG